UAAGGAAUAUUGGUCAAUGGGCGAAAGCCUGAUCCAGCCAUUCCGCGUGCAGGAUGAAGGCCCUCGGGUUGUAAACUGCUUUUGUACGGAACGAAAAGGUCUCUACUAAUACUAGGGGCUCAUGACGGUACCGUAAGAAUAAGCACCGGCUAACUACGUGCCAGCAGCCGCGGUAAUACGUAGGGUGCAAGCGUUAAUCGGAAUUACUGGGCGUAAAGCGUGCGCAGGCGGUUAUAUAAGGCAGAUGUGAAAUCCCCGGGCUCAACCUGGGAACUGCAUUUGUGACCGUAUAGCUAGAGUACGGCAGAGGGGGAUGGAAUUCCGCGUGUAGCGGUGAAAUGCGUAGAUAUGCGGAGGAACACCGAUGGCGAAGGCAAUCCCCUGGGCCUGUACUGACGCUCAUGCACGAAAGCGUGGGGAGCAAACAGG
Molecule: ribosomal RNA, 429 nt
Filed under: uncultured bacterium
Lineage: Bacteria
Description: bacterial SSU rRNA
Rfam family: Bacterial small subunit ribosomal RNA
Source: RNAcentral